UGCAAGUCGACGGUGAACACGGAGCUUGCUCUGUGGGAUCAGUGGCGAACGGGUGAGUAACACGUGAGCAACCUGCCCCUGACUCUGGGAUAAGCGCUGGAAACGGCGUCUAAUACUGGAUAUGUGACGUGACCGCAUGGUCUGCGUCUGGAAAGAAUUUCGGUUGGGGAUGGGCUCGCGGCCUAUCAGCUUGUUGGUGAGGUAAUGGCUCACCAAGGCGUCGACGGGUAGCCGGCCUGAGAGGGUGACCGGCCACACUGGGACUGAGACACGGCCCAGACUCCUACGGGAGGCAGCAGUGGGGAAUAUUGCACAAUGGGCGCAAGCCUGAUGCAGCAACGCCGCGUGAGGGACGACGGCCUUCGGGUUGUAAACCUCUUUUAGCAGGGAAGAAGCGAAAGUGACGGUACCUGCAGAAAAAGCGCCGGCUAACUACGUGCCAGCAGCCGCGGUAAUACGUAGGGCGCAAGCGUUAUCCGGAAUUAUUGGGCGUAAAGAGCUCGUAGGCGGUUUGUCGCGUCUGCUGUGAAAUCCGGAGGCUCAACCUCCGGCCUGCAGUGGGUACGGGCAGACUAGAGUGCGGUAGGGGAGAUUGGAAUUCCUGGUGUAGCGGUGGAAUGCGCAGAUAUCAGGAGGAACACCGAUGGCGAAGGCAGAUCUCUGGGCCGUAACUGACGCUGAGGAGCGAAAGGGUGGGGAGCAAACAGGCUUAGAUACCCUGGUAGUCCACCCCGUAAACGUUGGGAACUAGUUGUGGGGUCCAUUCCACGGAUUCCGUGACGCAGCUAACGCAUUAAGUUCCCCGCCUGGGGAGUAC
RNAcentral lists this ribosomal RNA (817 nucleotides) under Microbacterium sp. D92. RNAcentral describes it as "bacterial SSU rRNA". It matches the Rfam family "Bacterial small subunit ribosomal RNA", at positions 56 to 883 of the family's 1533-position model. Lineage: Bacteria; Bacillati; Actinomycetota; Actinomycetes; Micrococcales; Microbacteriaceae. The record is from RNAcentral.